AUUUGGGUUAGGGAUAGAAGCGGUAUCCUUUUAUGAAGAGCAACGAAAUAAAAGAUAUAGCGGAUAGCCCGGCCGAAG
This 78-nucleotide small RNA is filed under the name Flavobacterium circumlabens. RNAcentral describes it as "Flavo-1 RNA". It matches the Rfam family "Flavo-1 RNA". The record is from RNAcentral. Lineage: Bacteria; Pseudomonadati; Bacteroidota; Flavobacteriia; Flavobacteriales; Flavobacteriaceae.